ACUCCUACGGGAGGCAGCAGUGGGGAAUUUUGGACAAUGGGCGAAAGCCUGAUCCAGCAAUGCCGCGUGCAGGAUGAAGGCCUUCGGGUUGUAAACUGCUUUUGUACGGAACGAAAAAGCUCCUUCUAAUACAGGGGGCCCAUGACGGUACCGUAAGAAUAAGCACCGGCUAACUACGUGCCAGCAGCCGCGGUAAUACGUAGGGUGCGAGCGUUAAUCGGAAUUACUGGGCGUAAAGCGUGCGCAGGCGGUUAUGUAAGACAGAUGUGAAAUCCCCGGGCUCAACCUGGGAACUGCAUUUGUGACUGCAUGGCUAGAGUACGGUAGAGGGGGAUGGAAUUCCGCGUGUAGCAGUGAAAUGCGUAGAUAUGCGGAGGAACACCGAUGGCGAAGGCAAUCCCCUGGACCUGUACUGACGCUCAUGCACGAAAGCGUGGGGAGCAAACAGGAUUAGAUACCCCUGUAGUCCCAUGA
RNAcentral lists this ribosomal RNA (474 nucleotides) under uncultured organism. RNAcentral describes it as "partial 16S ribosomal RNA". It matches the Rfam family "Bacterial small subunit ribosomal RNA", at positions 335 to 800 of the family's 1533-position model. The record is from RNAcentral.